RNAcentral lists this ribosomal RNA (466 nucleotides) under uncultured bacterium. RNAcentral's name for it is "partial 16S ribosomal RNA". It matches the Rfam family "Bacterial small subunit ribosomal RNA", at positions 28 to 507 of the family's 1533-position model. The record is from RNAcentral.
GAUGAACGCUGGCGGCGUGCUUAACACAUGCAAGUCGAACGAUGAAGCCCAGCUUGCUGGGUGGAUUAGUGGCGAACGGGUGAGUAACACGUGAGUAACCUGCCCUUAACUCUGGGAUAAGCCUGGGAAACUGGGUCUAAUACCGGAUAGGAGCGCCUACCGCAUGGUGGGUGUUGGAAAGAUUUAUCGGUUUUGGAUGGACUCGCGGCCUAUCAGCUUGUUGGUGAGGUAAUGGCUCACCAAGGCGACGACGGGUAGCCGGCCUGAGAGGGUGACCGGCCACACUGGGACUGAGACACGGCCCAGACUCCUACGGGAGGCAGCAGUGGGGAAUGUUGCACAAUGGGCGCAAGCCUGAUGCAGCGACGCCGCGUGAGGGAUGACGGCCUUCGGGUUGUAAACCUCUUUCAGUAGGGAAGAAGCGAAAGUGACGGUACCUGCAGAAGAAGCACCGGCUAACUACGUG